Molecule: ribosomal RNA, 454 nt
Filed under: uncultured bacterium
Lineage: Bacteria
Description: partial 16S ribosomal RNA
Rfam family: Bacterial small subunit ribosomal RNA
Source: RNAcentral
GAUGAACGCUGACAGAAUGCUUAACACAUGCAAGUCAACUUGAACUUCGGUUUGGGUGGCGGACGGGUGAGUAACGCGUACAGAACUUGCCUCACAGCUAGGGACAACAUUUGGAAACGAAUGCUAAUACCUGAUAUUAUGAUUUUAGGGCAUCCUAGAAUUAUGAAAGCUAUAUGCGCUGUGAGAGAGCUUUGCGUCCCAUUAGCUAGUUGGAGAGGUAACGGCUCACCAAGGCGAUGAUGGGUAGCCGGCCUGAGAGGGUGAACGGCCACAAGGGGACUGAGACACGGCCCUUACUCCUACGGGAGGCAGCAGUGGGGAAUAUUGGACAAUGGACCAAGAGUCUGAUCCAGCAAUUCUGUGUGCACGAUGAAGUUUUUCGGAAUGUAAAGUGCUUUCAGUUGGGAAGAAAAAAAUGACGAUACCAACAGAAGAAGUGACGGCUAAAUACGUG